Molecule: ribosomal RNA, 579 nt
Filed under: uncultured bacterium
Lineage: Bacteria
Description: bacterial SSU rRNA
Rfam family: Bacterial small subunit ribosomal RNA
Source: RNAcentral
UCGGGAUAGCCACUGGAAACGGUGAUUAAUACCGGAUACUCCUUCUUGUUAUAAGACAAGUCGGGAAAGUUUUUCGCUAAGGGAUCAGUCUAUGUUCCAUCAGCUUGUUGGUGAGGUAAUGGCUCACCAAGGCUAUGACGGAUAUCUGGUUUGAGAGGAUGAUCAGACACACUGGAACUGAGACACGGUCCAGACUCCUACGGGAGGCAGCAGUGAGGAAUAUUGCACAAUGGAGGAAACUCUGAUGCAGCAACGCCGCGUGGAGGAUGACGCAUUUCGGUGUGUAAACUCCUUUUAUUAGGGAAGAUAAUGACGGUACCUAAUGAAUAAGCACCGGCUAACUCCGUGCCAGCAGCCGCGGUAAUACGGAGGGUGCAAGCGUUACUCGGAAUCACUGGGCGUAAAGGGUGCGUAGGCUGGCUUUUAAGUCAGAUGUGAAAUCCAAUGGCUCAACCAUUGAACUGCAUUUGAAACUGAAAGCCUAGAGUUCAGAAGGGGCAGAUGGAAUUAGUGGUGUAGGGGUAAAAUCCGUAGAUAUCACUAGGAAUAUCAAAAGCGAAGGCGAUCUGCUGGGAUGAU